UGGCCUAUAGCUUAACGGCAGAGCGAUUGACUGUUAAUCAAUUAGGUGCUGGUUCGAAUCCAGCUAGGUCAGC
This 73-nucleotide transfer RNA is filed under the name Streptomyces phage Sushi23. RNAcentral's name for it is "tRNA-Asn". It matches the Rfam family "tRNA". Rfam says of the family: Transfer RNA (tRNA) molecules are approximately 80 nucleotides in length. Their secondary structure includes four short double-helical elements and three loops (D, anti-codon, and T loops). RNAcentral also lists the same sequence under 30 other names. Lineage: Duplodnaviria; Heunggongvirae; Uroviricota; Caudoviricetes; Stanwilliamsviridae. The record is from RNAcentral.